GAGACAGAGACAGACAGAAAGUGAGAGCUAGACAGCGCUCUGGAAGCCUAGCUGAUCAUUGCUGUGAUAUUCUGACUGCCCCAGCGGCUGAGAGAGAGGGCGCGUGACAGAAAGAAAGAGGGAGAGAGAGAGAGAGAGAGAGAGAGAGAAGGAUAGAAGACUAGAAGCCUCUUUCCAUUCUAUGAAAAACAAGUUCCCAAAUAGAGCAUCAACAGCAAAGUGCGGAGUGGAGGGAGUGUCUCGUCUCUUCAGGGGGAGCUGCUCACUAACAUGAAGAAGAAAACAGUCCAGAGGAGCUACUACUAGUGGAAGAUCUUUAAGAGGGGGAGAAGAAGACCAAUAGUGUCUAUUCAGACACAAUUCAAACCGAUAGUGUCUAUUGACUCUACUCAGACUAAAGGAGAAAGCCAAAAACUUUGUUGUCGAGGAUGUCUUGGCUGUCGCCCAUGUCAUGGGCCAAGUGGACGUGGACAGCAGUCCGGGGAGCAGAGGAGGGAGAGGAGGUGGAGGGCCAGGAGGUGAAGGAGAAGGAUGGACUGCUACCCUGCGUAGGGCAGCGAGAGGAGGAGGAGGAAGAGAGAUCUCAAGGCUGCAGUUCAGACUCAGAGGGCCACUUUGAAACCCCAGAGGCUCAGAGCCCUGUCCACGCUCCACUCCAAGACCCAGAAGAGCUGGAGACCUUUACCACUGACAGAGCAGAUGCCCUGGAGGAGGAGGAUGAACAGCUGAUAGUGUCUGGCCCAACCAGGGUUCCAGCUCCUAGUCUCCUCUUUAACCAGAACAUGGGUCAGGCCAAGCCCCCCUUGGCCCCUGAGGAGGAGGCCCCUGUGGACUUGAAGGAGGGGCCACAAACACUGCCCAACACCACAGAGGUUCAACCCCCAAUAGCAGGCCCACCAGCCCAGACCAAUGGAGCAGCAAAGGCCACUGCUUCUCUAGACUUAUGUCUACCUGAGGAGGAAAGACCACUGGCUACUUCUCUAGACUUAGGCCUAACUGAGGAGGCUAAACCACUGGCUACUUCUCUAGACUUAGGCCUAAUUGAGGAGGCUAGACCACUGGCUACUUCUCUAGACUUAGGCCUAACUGAGGAGGCUAGACCACUGUCUACUUCUCUAGACUUAGGCCUAACUGAGGAGGCUAGACCACUGUCUACUUCUCUAGACUUAGGCCUAACUGAGGAGGCUAGACCACUGUCUACUUCUCUAGACUUAGGCCUACUGAGGAGGCUAGACCACUGUCUACUUCUCUAGACUUAGGCCUAACUGAGGAGGAUAGACCACUGUCUACUUCUCUAGACUUAGGCCUAACUGAGGAGGAUAGACCACUGGCUACUUCUCUAGACUUAGGCCUAACUGAGGAGGCUAGACCACUGGCUACUUCUCUAGACUUAGGCCUAACUCAGGAGGCUAGCAGUACAGAGCGCUUUGUAUGGAACACCCCGUAGAGACCAUCCCUGACCUCAGGCCAAACCCAAUAAAAACCACACCCCCUUCCUGAAGAUAAGGGAGCCUUUAACAGGGCUAGUGCACAGAGGGAUGGGGACAGGGAUAUCACUCCAGUCCCUAAGGCUAGCUACAUACUUUAACCCGGACCAAUUCGACGACAGCUUCAAUCCGUUCGCCAGCGGCGGCUCCAAGAUUCAGAACUCGUCGCCAGCUUUGCAGCCGAUGCCCUGCACACAAUGGAGUCGCUACCUGUACCUAGCUUCCUGCCCACACUGGGGUCGUUACCUGUAUGCAGCUCUUCUCCACCGCUUUGUGGGACUAGUUCCUCACCUAAAAAUGGACGUUGAGGAGGUCAAAGAUUCAGCGUCGGAGGCAUCAGAGGAACCCAAGCCUGUGAAGAUGGAGUUUGGGUUAGAUGAGGCAGGCGAGGUAAAAAAAACACCACCCAGGAGCAUGGGUAAAAAGCCCAGCAGCAAGCUCGCCGUCAAGAAACCAAGGGCAAAAGCAACGACAACAGCACCUGCCCCAAACGCCGGCAACCCGAACCAGUAUAGCUGAACCGGUAGUAAGGCCGGUUUCAGAAACGACUUCCGAAACCGCUUUCCAUGCCAGGUGCCUCCUUAAGUUUGGACGACGUUCCUAUUCCCAAGUCCACUUAUAACUUUGACCCCAACCAGUGGGAUGACCCUAAUUUGAACCCUUUGGGGGUGGUGGUUGUCCAAAAUAAGUAGUUCCCCCGGUUUGUGCCCAAAGGAUCCUACAGCUUUUGAUCCUCACAACUUUGACAACUGUGUGGACCCCUUAAGCCAUCUACAGCCCUGGGCAGCAAGAACUCAACCUCCCAGGAUACCCCACUUCCUCCGCAAGCAGAGGAAGCAGUGAAAACCAAAGCUGGAGCGGCCCCUGGAUGAGGGGAAGAGAAAUGUGUCAGGACUCCAAAGAAAAGCAAGGACAGGAUCAUCACGUAAGUCCACUACACUCACUACGUUCCACCGAUAGUAUAGCCUUCUUCAUGUUAGUUCUGUUUACAGAAUGUGGAUUGUCUUAACAAGAAGAAAGCAUUCAAUUUUCUUCCCAUGUCUUUUAAAAAACACUUGGCAAUGUUAUUUUAUAAAACAAUACUGUCAGAAAGCUAGUAAACAUUUUUGAUAUUGCUCAAUAGCCUAUGUGAUACCAAACUUGGCCUCAUGGUUCUCACAUUAGGCUAGUAGAUAUAUUUUUGCCAUUUGCAAGGCCACUGGCAUCAUAAUGUUUGUGUCAGAAAAGCCUGCUGCCAAAUCUUCACCUCCCCAGCCAACUCCUAGAACCUAUCUCAUAAUGAUGAGCAGUAUAUCUCUACUCAUUCCUCCUUCAUAUUUCAUUUUCCUGCUGUAUUCCCUAUUGACCUUCUCCCGCCCCGCCACCCUACCAACAACCGCCACUGUCUGUCUAUCAUGCACCUUUCCUUGCUUCUCUCCUUCCACCUUGUUGUCGUUUGCCUCAGGACCACUGAACAAGUGAAGAUUCUCUGUUUCUGUUGUAAGUAGUACUCUCCUCUUCCCCAACUCAAUCUCUCUCUCGCUCUCUGGGUUGGUCUGCAUCUUGCUUUCAGUCCUAUGCAUGUGUUAUGAUGAGAGGCUCAAUGAAGGAGCUUUUAGUGUCUGCACUCCUGCAUGUUGGCACAUGAACCUUCCCCUUAAACUGCCUUCAUCAGCUAGUAGGCUAUUUCCUUAAUGGUGCCUUGUGAGUCUUUGCAAAGUUAAAUAACAUAUUUCUAUCUGCAUAGGAUUUUGCAUAGUGCUGUGCAAUACUGAUUAGAACAAUGGGAGAAUAGUGUGUAUCAACCAUCUGCUAGCCGCAGCCCGCUAGCUGUCUAGAGCAUAUCGGACUGUUAGCUUAAGAGGGCCAUCGGACAAAUUCUUUGGCUACUAUACCUAUUUUGCCAAUUGGCCUGGACCCUUUCACCACACGGAGCCCUGCUGAUCCACGACAACUGGUCUGCCAAAGUUACAGCACGAGGGGCUACUACUGACUUCUUCCGUCACGACGUCCCUCUAAGACCCUUCUGCUAGCUUGCUAGCACCGGCCCACUAGCUGCCUGAAUCGCCUCGUCUCCGGCCCGCCUGAGCCACUCACUGGAUCCCUAUGAUCACUCGGCUAUGCAUGCCUCUCCCUAAUGUCAAUAUGCCUUGUCCAUUGUUGUUUUGGUUAGUAAUUAUUGACUUAUUUCACUGUAGAGCCUCUAGCCCUGCUCAAUAACCCUUUAGUUCCACCUCCCACACAUGCGGUGACCUCACCUGGUUUAAAUGAUGUUUCUAGAGACAAUAUCUCUAUCAUUGUCACUCAAUGCAUAGGUUUACCUCAACUGUAUUCACAUCCUACCAUACCUUUGUCUGUACAUUAUGCCUUGAAUCUAUUCUACCGUGCCCAGAAACCUGCUCCUUUUACUCUCUGUUCCGAACGUACUAGACGACCAGUUCUUAUAGCCUUUAGCCGUACCCUUAUCCUACUCCUCCUCUGGUGAUGUAGAGGUUAAUCCAGGCCCUGCAGUGCCUAGCUUCACUCCCACUCCCCAGGCGCUCUCAUUGAUUGACUUCUGUAACCCUAAAAGUCUUGGUUUCAUGUACGUUAACAUUAGAAGCUUCCUCCCUAAAUUUGUUUUAUUCACUGCCUGAGCACACUCUGCCAACCCGGAUGUCCUAGCCAUGUCUGAAUCCUGGCUUAGGAAGACUACCAAAAACCCUGAAAUGUCCAUCCCUAACUAACAUUUUCCGGCUAGAAAGAACUGCCAAAGGGGGCGGAGUUGCAAUCUAUUGCAGAUCUUACGUUCUCCCCUCGGGUGUAGCUCGUCUGAGGAGGAGACGUAAAUGCCUGGCCUAAACACACAAGGUAAACCAGAUGAAAAUGGAAGAAAUGUGGGGUGUAAUGAGCGAAAAUAACCAGACCACAAACCAAACUCAAUGUUAGCCCUCAGGGGAUGUUUAGUAAGUAAUUAAACAAUAAGACACCCAUAAGAGUCAGUAAGAAAACAAAAAAACAACAACCAGGGAAGGUAAGAGAAGGGAAUGUUUGGGAUCGGGGUCCAAGUAAUGAAAAUAAACAAAAGGUCCCUCCUCUUCUACACACCUAAUCC
Long non-coding RNA from Salmo trutta (river trout), 4560 nucleotides. NCBI's taxonomy places the organism in Eukaryota, Metazoa, Chordata, Actinopteri, Salmoniformes, Salmonidae. The record is from Ensembl.